GGGUGUAGCUCAGUUGGUAGAGCAUCUCGUUUACACCGAGAGGGUCGGGAGUUCGAGUCUCUCACCGCCCACCA
This 74-nucleotide transfer RNA is filed under the name Alphaproteobacteria bacterium. RNAcentral describes it as "tRNA-Val". It matches the Rfam family "tRNA". From Rfam's summary of the family: Transfer RNA (tRNA) molecules are approximately 80 nucleotides in length. Their secondary structure includes four short double-helical elements and three loops (D, anti-codon, and T loops). The record is from RNAcentral. Lineage: Bacteria; Pseudomonadati; Pseudomonadota; Alphaproteobacteria.